RNAcentral lists this non-coding RNA (185 nucleotides) under Chromobacterium subtsugae. RNAcentral's name for it is "6S RNA". It matches the Rfam family "6S / SsrS RNA". From Rfam's summary of the family: E. coli 6S RNA was the first non coding RNA to be sequenced, but its function was unknown until recently. RNAcentral also lists the same sequence under 1 other name. The record is from RNAcentral. Lineage: Bacteria; Pseudomonadati; Pseudomonadota; Betaproteobacteria; Neisseriales; Chromobacteriaceae.
UAUCCCCUGCGGUGCUCGUGACGGCACACAAUUCCUUUGUACCAAUGCGUUCGCUUCUGGCUGCCAGCGUGAGACAUGGGCGUGCCGCGUUCCAUUUGAGAACGCGCCCGAAAUGUCUGGCAGGCGGCCCAUCCUGGAAACAGGGUACAAGCGAAUUUAGCCCGAACGGCACUCGCGGGGGUCUC